GGUGAGUAAUGCCUAGUAGUUGUUGUGAUGUGGGGAAACCUGUUGAAAAAUAUGGCUAAUAGGCAUGAUGCCUACGGGCCAAAGAGGGGGACCUUCGGCCCUCUCGCGUCAUGAUAUGCCUAUGUGGGUUUAGCUAGUUGGUGAGGUAAUGGCUCAAAGGGCAACAAUCCCUCGCUGGUCUGAUAGUAUUAUCAGCCACACUGUCACUGACACACGGCCCAGAUUCCUAGGGGGGGCCGGAGUGGGGAAUAUUGCAAAAUGGGCAAUCCCCUGAUACCGCCAUGGUGCGUUUAUAGAAGGAGGCUUUCGGUUUGUAGAAUUUUUU
This 325-nucleotide ribosomal RNA is filed under the name Vibrio sp. I11Ma2. RNAcentral's name for it is "partial 16S ribosomal RNA". It matches the Rfam family "Bacterial small subunit ribosomal RNA", at positions 105 to 436 of the family's 1533-position model. The record is from RNAcentral. Lineage: Bacteria; Pseudomonadati; Pseudomonadota; Gammaproteobacteria; Vibrionales; Vibrionaceae.